Molecule: ribosomal RNA, 876 nt
Filed under: uncultured bacterium
Lineage: Bacteria
Description: bacterial SSU rRNA
Rfam family: Bacterial small subunit ribosomal RNA
Source: RNAcentral
GCGGUAAUACGGAGGAUCCAAGCGUUAUCCGGAUUUAUUGGGUUUAAAGGGUGCGCAGGCGGACCAAUAAGUCAGUGGUGAAAUCUACAUGCUUAACAUGUAUAGUGCCAUUGAUACUGUUGGACUAGUAUGCAAAUGACGUAGCUGGAAUGUGUUAUGUAGCGGUGAAAUGCUUAGAUAUAACACAGAACACCGAUCGUGAAGACAGGUUACGAAUUUGUUAUAGACGCUCAGGCACGAAAGCGUGGGGAUCAAACAGGAUUAGAUACCCUGGUAGUCCACGCUGUAAACGAUGAUAACUUGUUGUUGGGCACAUAGUGCUCAGUGGCUAAGCGAAAGCGAUAAGUUAUCCACCUGGGGAGUACGAUCGCAAGGUUGAAACUCAAAGGAAUUGACGGGGGCCCGCACAAGCGGAGGAGCAUGUGGUUUAAUUCGAUGAUACGCGAGGAACCUUACCCGGGCUCGAACGUAUAUUGAAUAACGUGGAAACAUGUUAGUCGCAAGACAAUAUACGAGGUGCUGCAUGGUUGUCGUCAGCUCGUGCCGUGAGGUGUCAGGUUAAGUCCUAUAACGAGCGCAACCCUUACUUUCAGUUGCCAGCACGUAAUGGUGGGGACUCUGGAGGAACUGCCUACGCAAGUAGUGAGGAAGGUGGGGAUGACGUCAAAUCAGCACGGCCCUUAUGUUCGGGGCUACACACGUGCUACAAUGGUCGAUACAGAGGGCAGCUACUUGGCAACAAGAUGCGAAUCUCGAAAGUCGAUCUCAGUUCGGAUCGGAGGCUGUAACUCGCCUCCGUGAAGUUGGAUUCGCUAGUAAUCGCGCAUCAGCCAUGGCGCGGUGAAUACGUUCCCGGGCCUUGCACACACCGCCCAU